CCAGCUCCAAUAGCGUAUAUUAAAGUUGUUGCGGUUAAAAAGCUCGUAGUUGGAUUUCUGCCAAGGACGACCGACCCGCCUUCGGGUGUGUGUCUGUGUUGACUGAGGCAUCCUCCUAGUGACUCCAGUGCUUAACCGUACUGGCUGUUCUAGGACUUUUACUUUGAGGAAAUUAGAGUGUUUCAAGCAGGCAUAUGCCUUGAAUAUAUUAGCAUGGAAUAAUAAUUUAGGACUUCGGUUCUAUUUUGUUGGUUUCUGGAACUGAAGUAAUGAUUAAUAGGGACAGUCGGGGGCAUUCGUACUCAACAGUCAGAGGUGAAAUUCUUGGAUUUGUUGGAGACGAACUACUGCGAAAGCAUUUGCCAAGGAUGUUUUCA
RNAcentral lists this ribosomal RNA (377 nucleotides) under Perkinsidae sp. RNAcentral describes it as "SSU rRNA". It matches the Rfam family "Eukaryotic small subunit ribosomal RNA", at positions 585 to 972 of the family's 1831-position model. The record is from RNAcentral. RNAcentral also lists the same sequence under 1 other name. Lineage: Eukaryota; Perkinsozoa; Perkinsida; Perkinsidae.